Molecule: ribosomal RNA, 260 nt
Filed under: uncultured bacterium
Lineage: Bacteria
Description: partial 16S ribosomal RNA
Rfam family: Bacterial small subunit ribosomal RNA
Source: RNAcentral
GAUGAACGCUAGCGGCAGGCCUAAUACAUGCAAGUCGAACGGUAACAGGUCCAGCAAUGGAUGCUGACGAGUGGCGCACGGGUGCGUAACGCGUAUGCAAUCUACCUUUAACUGGUGAAUAGCCCGAAGAAAUUCGGAUUAAUACACCAUAGUAUAAUUAAGUGGCAUCAUUUGAUUAUUAAAACUCCGGUGGUUAAAGAUGAGCAUGCGUGACAUUAGCUAGUUGGUGAGGUAAUGGCUCACCAAGGCUACGAUGUCUA